This 468-nucleotide ribosomal RNA is filed under the name uncultured bacterium. RNAcentral's name for it is "partial 16S ribosomal RNA". It matches the Rfam family "Bacterial small subunit ribosomal RNA", at positions 28 to 507 of the family's 1533-position model. The record is from RNAcentral.
GACGAACGCUGGCGGCGUGCUUAACACAUGCAAGUCGAACGGAAAGGCCCUGCUUUUGUGGGGUGCUCGAGUGGCGAACGGGGGAGUAACACGUGAGUAACCUGCCCUUGACUUUGGGAUAACUUCAGGAAACUGGGGCUAAUACCGGAUAGGAGCUCCUGCUGCAUGGUGGGGGUUGGAAAGUUUCGGCGGUUGGGGAUGGACGCGCGGCUGAUCAGCUUGUUGGUGGGGUAGUGGCUUACCAAGGCUUGGACGGGUAGCCGGCCUGAGAGGGUGACCGGCCACAUUGGGACUGAGAUACGGCCCAGACGCCUACGGGAGGCAGCAGUGGGGAAUAUUGCACAAUGGGCGGAAGCCUGAUGCAGAAACGCCGCGUGCGGGAUGACGGCCUUCGGGUUGUAAACCGCUUUCGCCUGUGACGAAGCGUGAGUGACGGUAAUGGGUAAAGAAGCACCGGCUAACUACGUG